GAUGAAGAACGUAGCAAAAUGCGAUAAGUAAUGUGAAUUGCAGAAUUCAGUGAAUCAUCGAAUCUUUGAACGCACAUUGCGCCCGCCAGUAUUCUGGCGGGCAUGCCUGUUCGAGCGUCGUUUCAACCCUUAAGCCCCCGGGUUUGGUGUUGGGGAUCGGGCUGUACUCCAGCCCGGCCCCGAAGUCUAGUGGCGGUCUCGCUGCAGCCUCCAUUGCGUAGUAGCUAACACCUCGCAACUGGAACGCGGCGCGGCCAAGCCGUUAAACCCCCAACUUCUGAAUGUUGACCUCGGAUCAGGUAGGAAUACCCGCUGAACUUAAGCAUAUCAAUAAGCGGAGGA
Molecule: unclassified non-coding RNA, 342 nt
Filed under: soil metagenome
Description: partial contains 5.8S ribosomal RNA, internal transcribed spacer 2, and large subunit ribosomal RNA
Rfam family: 5.8S ribosomal RNA (bases 1-120)
Source: RNAcentral